Molecule: ribosomal RNA, 511 nt
Filed under: uncultured Pseudomonadota bacterium
Lineage: Bacteria; Pseudomonadati; Pseudomonadota
Description: bacterial SSU rRNA
Rfam family: Bacterial small subunit ribosomal RNA
Source: RNAcentral
GGGGGCAACCCUGAUCCAGCAAUGCCGCGUGUGUGAAGAAGGCCUUCGGGUUGUAAAGCACUUUUGUCCGGAAAGAAAUCGCGCUGGCUAAUACCCGGCGUGGAUGACGGUACCGGAAGAAUAAGCACCGGCUAACUACGUGCCAGCAGCCGCGGUAAUACGUAGGGUGCGAGCGUUAAUCGGAAUUACUGGGCGUAAAGCGUGCGCAGGCGGUUUUGUAAGACAGGCGUGAAAUCCCCGGGCUUAACCUGGGAAUGGCGCUUGUGACUGCAAGGCUAGAGUGCGUCAGAGGGGGGUAGAAUUCCACGUGUAGCAGUGAAAUGCGUAGAGAUGUGGAGGAAUACCGAUGGCGAAGGCAGCCCCCUGGGACGAGACUGACGCUCAUGCACGAAAGCGUGGGGAGCAAACAGGAUUAGAUACCCUGGUAGUCCACGCCCUAAACGAUGUCAACUAGUUGUUGGGGAUUCAUUUCUUCAGUAACGUAGCUAACGCGUGAAGUUGACCGCCUGGG